UACAGAAAGAGAAAUAUGAAAAAGAAAGUGAUAGCUUUUAACACCUAGAUUUUUACUUUAUAGAAAGAAAGAAUGGAGAUAAGAGAGUAAUGUGACUAAAUUUAGUAGUUCUUACAAGAAGAGUAGUCAUAGUGCUACCUGGUUUUGAGAGAAGAAAAAAAAUGGAGAUUAUGUCUUGCUGUCUGUUGCUAAAACUUUUUUCUCUCAGAAAAUAUAAAUACCCAGAUUGAGAGAGGAGGCGUCAAAAAAUUGGAAUGAUUGUCAGAUGCUUCUUUUAUCUCGGAUAAGUAGCAAAGGUUUCGUUCCAUUUUAAUAUUAUUGAAGUAAAUGAAAGUAAUAUUAGUAUAAAUAAAUAUAAAAAUUGAGUGGGACAGUGCUUGGAUAGACAUAUGAGAAUAGACUAGUACUAUUAUCAGUAUGUCACAGGUAGGUGUGGCCACCGCUGGAUUUAGCUUUUGAAAUCCAAGGCCCCCCGAAUCGCCUCAUAUUGACUCGAUUUCCUUUGUUUUUCACCCGUUACCCGUCUAAAUCCGACCUGAUCACCUGAACAGCAACCGGUUUGGACAGGUUUCUGUCGGGUCACGGGUUGUUGCUUGGCCCUUCAAUUUGGUAUACACUAUGCUGUCUCUACCUUCUUACUUUGAAUUAUGGUGCAUUGUUUCAAGUUUUAGUAUUAUUUGGAUUUCAAGUGUUAGAUAUAUCAGUAAUUCACAUUCUGUUCCUGCUUUCCUCAUGUAUAUACUUCUAUUGGUAUACACUAUGCUGUCUCUACCUUCUUACUUUGAAUUAUGGUGCAUUGUUUCAAGUUUUAGUAUUAUUUGGAUUUCAAGUGUUAGAUAUAUCAGUAAUUCACAUUCUGUUCCUGCUUUCCUCAUGUAUAUACUUCUAUUGGCAUAUGAUUCUGAUCAAGUUUUAUUCUCCUGACUUUAUUGCAGGGCCCUGGUGGUAGAC
Molecule: long non-coding RNA, 951 nt
Filed under: Medicago truncatula (barrel medic)
Lineage: Eukaryota; Viridiplantae; Streptophyta; Magnoliopsida; Fabales; Fabaceae
Description: long non-coding RNA (MTRU_LNC002745)
Source: RNAcentral